RNAcentral lists this transfer RNA (73 nucleotides) under Dermacentor andersoni. Its description in RNAcentral is "transfer RNA threonine (anticodon CGU)". It matches the Rfam family "tRNA". From Rfam's summary of the family: Transfer RNA (tRNA) molecules are approximately 80 nucleotides in length. Their secondary structure includes four short double-helical elements and three loops (D, anti-codon, and T loops). Lineage: Eukaryota; Metazoa; Arthropoda; Arachnida; Ixodida; Ixodidae. The record is from RNAcentral.
GCCGCGGUAGCUCAAUGGGUAGAGCAUCGCACGCGUAAUGCGAAGGUUGUGGGUUCGGUUCCCACCUGCGGCA